CUAUCUGCAGUCGAGCGAUCUUUAGGAGCUUGCUCCUAUUGGUUAGCGGCGGACGGGUGAGUAACACGUGGGCAACCUGCCUGUAAGACUGGGAUAACUUCGGGAAACCGGAGCUAAUACCGGAUAAUCCAUUUCCUCUCAUGAGGAAAUGCUGAAAGAUGGUUUCGGCUAUCACUUACAGAUGGGCCCGCGGCGCAUUAGCUAGUUGGUGAGGUAACGGCUCACCAAGGCGACGAUGCGUAGCCGACCUGAGAGGGUGAUCGGCCACACUGGGACUGAGACACGGCCCAGACUCCUACGGGAGGCAGCAGUAGGGAAUCUUCCGCAAUGGACGAAAGUCUGACGGAGCAACGCCGCGUGAGCGAAGAAGGCCUUCGGGUCGUAAAGCUCUGUUGUUAGGGAAGAACAAGUAUCGGAGUAACUGCCGGUACCUUGACGGUACCUAACCAGAAAGCCACGGCUAACUACGUGCC
This 473-nucleotide ribosomal RNA is filed under the name uncultured bacterium. RNAcentral's name for it is "bacterial SSU rRNA". It matches the Rfam family "Bacterial small subunit ribosomal RNA", at positions 51 to 509 of the family's 1533-position model. The record is from RNAcentral.